GCGGGUUGUGAAAUGCGCCCUGGGCUUUGGAGUCAGGUGGUAUUUGAAUCCUGCCAGCAUCCCUGACUAGCUGGGCCACCUUGGGCAAAUCACUAGGUGAAGACCAAGGUUUCCUGGAGUUCUAACCCUCAUCCUCCUUACCAGUUGAUCUACGUGACACCCGACCCUGCAGUUCUAGCUUGAAGCAUCUCGGAGGCAGAAACGGACCUGCGUCUUCACAGGCAGCAAGAAAUGAGCAUUUUAGCGCAGGAAUGCUGCAGAUGUUAUCUAGUACACCCUCCUCGUUUUGUUGGAAGAGAAGACUGAGAUACAGAAAGGUGACAUACAGAAAGGUCAUCGAGGAGCAGCAGCACUACAAGCCACAGUAAGUCAGUAAUGGCUUUCCUGAUAUCCGAUUCGUUAAGUGGAACACAUUCUUGAGACUUGAAAAGUGAGAAAAAUAAACCUUUAAGGUAAGAUACAGAAAACGUCAACUUCGGCUACAGAAGAGCAGGAACUUGUAUUUCUAGGAGCGGGUACAAGUGGACAGGGACAGCCAGGAUACAGAGGGGAUGAGG
Hipposideros armiger (great roundleaf bat) is the source of this 557-nucleotide long non-coding RNA. RefSeq lists it as uncharacterized. The record is from RefSeq and is a predicted model, not a curated record. The transcript is spliced from 3 exons. NCBI's taxonomy places the organism in Eukaryota, Metazoa, Chordata, Mammalia, Chiroptera, Hipposideridae.